AGGUGUGACAGGCCCGUCACAGCCAGCACUGCAGCCUCUGCUAUCCCACACAGCGAUAUAUAGAUUUGUUCAUAGUUUUGGGUUUUUUUUUUUUUAAUAGUCUGGCCCGCCAGCUAUCUGAGCGACAGUGAAUUAACCUUCUGUGUAAAUUCUUUGAGCACCCCUGCUCUAGGGAAAUCUGUCCUAUAGAGAAGGAUUGGGGGUGUGAUUAAACACUAAAGACCUCUUUCCCACUGAAGACACUUCUAGGUCUCUCCUGAAAGAGGAGUGAUUCUGAACUACAAUGACAAAAUCAAACUGCUUUGCCUACCACUUUUAUCAAUAUGGCUGCAUGAGACCACUUUGCAAUAACAGUUCUUUCUCCCUUCUCAAGAAGUCCCUGGGCAGCCAUUCAAUGAACUGAGAAGGGAGAAAAGGGAGACUGAGAGGAGCAGAGCUUUCUGAUACUGCAACCAGCUAUCAUGGCUGAAUCUCCCACACCUGAGCAGUGGUAAUCUUUUCGAGACACCAGAGUGCAGAGAUUUUCUUCAAUGUAUUAUUGCUUUAUCUACUUCAUUUGCACUCCCAUUGUUUUGUCUGUAUCAUUUGCACUCACUGCAGAUCAUGUUAAAUAAAAGAGGAAAUGAAUCUUAUU
RNAcentral lists this long non-coding RNA (634 nucleotides) under Monodelphis domestica (gray short-tailed opossum). RNAcentral's name for it is "lncRNA (ENSMODG00000038561.1)". Lineage: Eukaryota; Metazoa; Chordata; Mammalia; Didelphimorphia; Didelphidae. The record is from RNAcentral.